GCCCUGGUGGCUCUGUGGUAGAAUUCCUGCCUGCCACGCCGGCAGCCUGGGUUCUAAUCCCAGCAAAGGCA
RNAcentral lists this transfer RNA (71 nucleotides) under Taeniopygia guttata (zebra finch). It matches the Rfam family "tRNA". From Rfam's summary of the family: Transfer RNA (tRNA) molecules are approximately 80 nucleotides in length. Their secondary structure includes four short double-helical elements and three loops (D, anti-codon, and T loops). Lineage: Eukaryota; Metazoa; Chordata; Aves; Passeriformes; Estrildidae. The record is from Rfam by way of RNAcentral.